This 397-nucleotide ribosomal RNA is filed under the name uncultured bacterium. Its description in RNAcentral is "bacterial SSU rRNA". It matches the Rfam family "Bacterial small subunit ribosomal RNA", at positions 954 to 1350 of the family's 1533-position model. The record is from RNAcentral.
AUGGGAACGCGAAGAACCUUACCUACUCUUGACAUCCAGAGAACUUUCCAGAGAUGGAUUGGUGCCUUCGGGAACGUCUGAGACAGGUGCUGCAUGGCUGUCGUCAGCUCGUGUUGUGAAUGUUGGGUUAAGUCCGCAACGAGCGCAACCCGUUAUCCUUUGUUGCCAGCGGUUAGGCCGGGAACUCAAAGGAGACUGCCAGUGAUAAACUGGAGGAAGGUGGGGAUGACGUCAAGUCAUCAUGGCCCUUACGAGUAGGGCUACACACGUGCUACAAUGGCGCAUACAAAGAGAAGCGACCUCGCGAGAGCAAGCGGACCUCAUAAAGUGCGUCGUAGUCCGGAUUGGAGUCUGCAACUCGACUCCAUGAAGUCGGAAUCGCUAGUAAUCGUAGAUC